This 253-nucleotide ribosomal RNA is filed under the name uncultured bacterium. RNAcentral describes it as "partial 16S ribosomal RNA". It matches the Rfam family "Bacterial small subunit ribosomal RNA", at positions 524 to 776 of the family's 1533-position model. The record is from RNAcentral.
GACAGAGGGUGCAAACGUUGUUCGGAAUUACUGGGCGUAAAGCGCACGUAGGCGGUUUGUUAAGUCAGGGGUGAAAUCCCAGAGCUCAACUCUGGAACUGCCUUUGAUACUGGCAAGCUCGAGUCCGGAAGAGGUAAGUGGAACUCCUAGUGUAGAGGUGGAAUUCGUAGAUAUUAGGAAGAACACUAGUGGCGAAGGCGGCUUACUGGUCCGGAACUGAUGCUGAGGUGCGAAAGCGUGGGGAGCAAACAGG